RNAcentral lists this ribosomal RNA (560 nucleotides) under Pseudomonas sp. RNAcentral describes it as "bacterial SSU rRNA". It matches the Rfam family "Bacterial small subunit ribosomal RNA", at positions 132 to 687 of the family's 1533-position model. The record is from RNAcentral. Lineage: Bacteria; Pseudomonadati; Pseudomonadota; Gammaproteobacteria; Pseudomonadales; Pseudomonadaceae.
GGCAGUGGGGGAUAACGUCCGGAAACGGGCGCUAAUACCGCAUACGUCCUACGGGAGAAAGUGGGGGAUCUUCGGACCUCACGCUAUUAGAUGAGCCUAGGUCGGAUUAGCUAGUUGGUGAGGUAAUGGCUCACCAAGGCGACGAUCCGUAACUGGUCUGAGAGGAUGAUCAGUCACACUGGAACUGAGACACGGUCCAGACUCCUACGGGAGGCAGCAGUGGGGAAUAUUGGACAAUGGGCGAAAGCCUGAUCCAGCCAUGCCGCGUGUGUGAAGAAGGUCUUCGGAUUGUAAAGCACUUUAAGUUGGGAGGAAGGGCAGUUACCUAAUACGUGAUUGUUUUGACGUUACCGACAGAAUAAGCACCGGCUAACUCUGUGCCAGCAGCCGCGGUAAUACAGAGGGUGCAAGCGUUAAUCGGAAUUACUGGGCGUAAAGCGCGCGUAGGUGGUUUGUUAAGUUGGAUGUGAAAGCCCCGGGCUCAACCUGGGAACUGCAUCCAAAACUGGCAAGCUAGAGUAUGGUAGAGGGUGGUGGAAUUUCCUGUGUAGCGGUGAAGU